UGGGGAAUCUUAGACAAUGGGGGAAACCCUGAUCUAGCCAUGCCGCGUGAGUGAUGAAGGCCCUAGGGUCGUAAAGCUCUUUCGCCAGGGAUGAUAAUGACAGUACCUGGUAAAGAAACCCCGGCUAACUCCGUGCCAGCAGCCGCGGUAAUACGGAGGGGGUUAGCGUUGUUCGGAAUUACUGGGCGUAAAGCGCACGUAGGCGGAUCAGAAAGUUGGGGGUGAAAUCCCAGGGCUCAACCCUGGAACUGCCUCCAAAACUACUGGUCUAGAGUUCGAGAGAGGUGAGUGGAAUUCCGAGUGUAGAGGUGAAAUUCGUAGAUAUUCGGAAGAACACCAGUGGCGAAGGCGGCUCACUGGCUCGAUACUGACGCUGAGGUGCGAAAGCGUGGGGAGCAAACA
RNAcentral lists this ribosomal RNA (402 nucleotides) under uncultured bacterium. RNAcentral describes it as "bacterial SSU rRNA". It matches the Rfam family "Bacterial small subunit ribosomal RNA", at positions 355 to 774 of the family's 1533-position model. The record is from RNAcentral.